UUGGCAGCAAUUGUAAAUAAUAUUUAUAAUCUGGUGAUAUUAAAAGUGAAAAGUUACAAGGGGGAGAAGGAAUGUUCUCCUUUGAAAAUUAGUGGCCACAUUUGGUGAUGGAUGAGAUGAAGAUGCAUCCUUCCAUAAUCUUGCCUUUUUAAAAAAAUUAUAAAGCUCAAAUGCAUUUUGCCAGAAAAAUUGCAUGAAUCUUCAGCAUGCAUUGUUAACUUUUUGUCUUUUCCCCUUUCUUUCUGCUGUUCAUUUUCAUUCAUAUAUUUUUGAUUUUUGGUUUGCCAUUGUUUUUUUCUUUUUUGUUAAUUACUUCAUUAAAUUAUUUUUGAAACGUCAUAAGCUGAGCAACCUCUCCGUGUAGUAACAGCGGAUACCUGUCUAUUUCACUAUUUAGUCCCUCCUCCUAUGUCUCCAUCCUCCAAAUCUGUGAGCACUCCAAGUGAAGCUGGAAGCCAAGACUCUGGAGAUGGCGCCGUGGGAUCUAGGACGCUGCAUUGGGAUACAGAUCCAUCAGUUCUUCAGCUUCACUCAGAUUCCGAUUUGGGACGAGGACCUAUUAAACUUGGAAUGGCUAAAAUCACGCAAGUCGACUUUCCUCCUCGAGAAAUUGUCACGUAUACAAAGGAAACUCAGACUCCAGUUAUGGCUCAACCCAAAGAAGAUGAAGAGGAAGAUGAUGAUGUAGUGGCUCCUAAACCACCUAUUGAACCUGAAGAAGAGAAAACUUUAAAGAAAGAUGAGGAAAAUGAUAGUAAAGCUCCCCCUCAUGAGCUGACUGAAGAAGAAAAGCAACAAAUCUUGCACUCUGAGGAAUUUUUAAGUUUCUUUGACCAUUCUACAAGAAUUGUAGAAAGAGCUCUUUCUGAGCAGAUUAACAUCUUCUUUGACUAUAGUGGGAGAGAUUUGGAAGACAAAGAAGGAGAGAUUCAAGCAGGUGCUAAACUGUCAUUAAAUCGACAAUUUUUUGACGAACGUUGGUCAAAGCAUCGGGUGGUUAGUUGUUUGGAUUGGUCAUCUCAGUAUCCGGAGUUACUCGUGGCUUCCUAUAACAACAAUGAAGAUGCCCCUCAUGAGCCUGAUGGUGUGGCCCUUGUAUGGAAUAUGAAAUACAAAAAAACUACCCCAGAGUAUGUGUUUCACUGCCAGUCAGCUGUGAUGUCUGCCACAUUUGCAAAAUUUCAUCCAAAUCUUGUUGUUGGUGGUACAUAUUCAGGCCAAAUUGUGCUUUGGGAUAACCGUAGCAAUAAAAGAACUCCAGUGCAAAGAACUCCACUGUCAGCAGCUGCACACACACACCCUGUAUAUUGUGUAAAUGUUGUUGGAACACAAAAUGCUCACAAUCUGAUUAGCAUCUCUACUGAUGGAAAAAUUUGUUCAUGGAGUCUGGACAUGCUUUCCCAUCCACAGGAUAGCAUGGAGUUGGUUCAUAAACAGUCAAAAGCAGUAGCUGUGACAUCUAUGUCCUUCCCUGUUGGAGAUGUCAACAACUUUGUUGUUGGGAGUGAAGAAGGUUCUGUGUACACAGCAUGCCGCCAUGGCAGCAAAGCUGGAAUCAGUGAGAUGUUUGAGGGGCAUCAAGGACCAAUCACUGGCAUCCAUUGUCAUGCAGCUGUUGGAGCAGUAGACUUCUCACAUCUUUUUGUCACUUCAUCGUUUGACUGGACAGUAAAGCUUUGGACAACUAAGAAUAACAAGCCUUUGUAUUCAUUUGAAGAUAAUGCAGACUAUGUUUAUGAUGUUAUGUGGUCACCUACCCACCCAGCCCUGUUUGCCUGUGUGGAUGGCAUGGGGAGAUUGGAUUUGUGGAAUCUCAAUAAUGACACAGAGGUACCAACUGCCAGCAUUUCUGUGGAGGGUAAUCCUGCUCUUAAUCGUGUGAGAUGGACCCAUUCUGGCAGAGAGAUUGCUGUGGGUGAUUCUGAAGGACAGAUUGUUAUAUACGAUGUGGGAGAGCAGAUUGCUGUUCCCCGCAAUGAUGAAUGGGCACGGUUUGGCCGAACACUUGCAGAGAUUAAUGCAAACCGAGCUGAUGCAGAGGAGGAAGCAGCUACCCGAAUACCUGCUUAGUUCCUGAAAAGGGGAGUGUAACUAGUGGAUUUGGGAAAGGUUCUUAAGUAGAUCCUGAGACUAUUUGCAUGCUUCUGUCUAAAUGAUAAUUAAAAGGAAAUUUCAUGGAUUAAACCAUGGGUUUAAUGCAGCAAGGAAACUUACAAUGUCCCUUUAUAUAUAACAUGCAUCUUGUUUUGGAUUUGUGUCAUUUUUUAAUAUAGCUGAUUGACUUCACAGAAAGCAGCUUUUUUGAAUUCUAAUACAUAGGUGUAUAUUUGGUAUUAGUUAUUUUGAGUUCUUUUCAACUUAUAACACUGUAUACAGUUAUUUCUAAAGCACAGAUGAAAUAAGUUCUGCAUAUUUUUAAAUAAUCACAGUUCCCUGUUAUACAGAUAAUGUUCUCACUGCCCAUAAUAUGUAGGAACAUUGUUUCUCCUUAGCCGUAGUAUGCAUACACCUAUCCAUGUUCAUUCUGACAUCCUUUGUUGUCUUUAUAAUUCAUGUGGUAGUUACCUAUAAAUAAAAACAAAUAUGCGUU
This 2590-nucleotide small RNA is filed under the name Pan troglodytes (chimpanzee). RNAcentral describes it as "retained intron". The record is from RNAcentral. Lineage: Eukaryota; Metazoa; Chordata; Mammalia; Primates; Hominidae.